Molecule: ribosomal RNA, 734 nt
Filed under: Aspergillus eucalypticola
Lineage: Eukaryota; Fungi; Ascomycota; Eurotiomycetes; Eurotiales; Aspergillaceae
Description: partial large subunit ribosomal RNA
Rfam family: Eukaryotic large subunit ribosomal RNA
Source: RNAcentral
AGCUCAAAUUUGAAAGCUGGCUCCUUCGGAGUCCGCAUUGUAAUUUGCAGAGGAUGCUUUGGGUGCGGCCCCCGUCUAAGUGCCCUGGAACGGGCCGUCAGAGAGGGUGAGAAUCCCGUCUUGGGCGGGUGUCCGUGCCCGUGUAAAGCUCCUUCGACGAGUCGAGUUGUUUGGGAAUGCAGCUCUAAAUGGGUGGUAAAUUUCAUCUAAAGCUAAAUACUGGCCGGAGACCGAUAGCGCACAAGUAGAGUGAUGAAAGAUGAAAAGCACUUUGAAAAGAGAGUUAAACAGCACGUGAAAUUGUUGAAAGGGAAGCGCUUGCGACCAGACUCGCCCGCGGGGUUCAGCCGGCAUUCGUGCCGGUGUACUUCCCCGUGGGCGGCCAGCGUCGGUUUGGGCGGCCGGUCAAAGGCCCCUGGAAUGUAGUGCCCUCCGGGGCACCUUAUAGCCAGGGGUGCAAUGCGGCCAGCCUGGACCGAGGAACGCGCUUCGGCACGGACGCUGGCAUAUGGUCGUAAACGACCCGUCUUGAAACACGGACCAAGGAGUCUAACAUCUACGCGAGUGUUCGGGUGUCAAACCCGUGCGCGCAGUGAAAGCGAACGGAGGUGGGAGCCCCCUUGCGGGGCGCACCACGACCGAUCCUGAUGUCUUCGGAUGGAUUUGAGUAAGAGCGUAGCUGUGGGGACCCGAAAGAUGGUGAACUAUGCCUGAAUAGGGCGAAGCCAGAGGAA